UUGCACGCUGGCGGCAGGCCUAACACAUGCAAGUCGAGCGGAUGAAGGGAGCUUGCUCCUGGAUUCAGCGGCGGACGGGUGAGUAAUGCCUAGGAAUCUGCCUGGUAGUGGGGGAUAACGUCCGGAAACGGGCGCUAAUACCGCAUACGUCCUGAGGGAGAAAGUGGGGGAUCUUCGGACCUCACGCUAUCAGAUGAGCCUAGGUCGGAUUAGCUAGUUGGGGGGGUAAAGGCCUACCAAGGCGACGAUCCGUAACUGGUCUGAGAGGAUGAUCAGUCACACUGGAACUGAGACACGGUCCAGACUCCUACGGGAGGCAGCAGUGGGGAAUAUUGGACAAUGGGCGAAAGCCUGAUCCAGCCAUGCCGCGUGUGUGAAGAAGGUCUUCGGAUUGUAAAGCACUUUAAGUUGGGAGGAAGGGCAGUAAGUUAAUACCUUGCUGUUUUGACGUUACCAACAGAAUAAGCACCGGCUAACUUCGUG
RNAcentral lists this ribosomal RNA (483 nucleotides) under uncultured bacterium. RNAcentral's name for it is "partial 16S ribosomal RNA". It matches the Rfam family "Bacterial small subunit ribosomal RNA", at positions 30 to 507 of the family's 1533-position model. The record is from RNAcentral.